GACGAACGCUGGCGGCGCGCCUAACACAUGCAAGUCGAACGGAGUCAAGAGGAGCUUGCUUUUCUUGACUUAGUGGCGAACGGGUGAGUAACGCGUGAGUAACCUGCCCUGGAGUGGGGGACAACAGUUGGAAACGACUGCUAAUACCGCAUAAGCCCACGGAUCUGCAUGGAUCUGCGGGAAAAGGAUUUAUUCGCUCUAGGAUGGACUCGCGUCCAAUUAGCUAGUUGGUGAGGUAACGGCCCACCAAGGCGACGAUUGGUAGCCGGACUGAGAGGUUGAACGGACACAUUGGGAGUGAGAAACGGCCCAGAAUCCUACGGGAGGCAGCAGUGGGGGAUAUUGCACAAUGGGGGAAACCCUGAUGCAGCGACGCCGCGUGGAGGAAGAAGGUUUUCGGAUUGUAAACUCCUGUCGUUAGGGACGAUAAUGACGGUACCUAACAAGAAAGCACCGGCUAACUACGUG
This 468-nucleotide ribosomal RNA is filed under the name uncultured bacterium. RNAcentral's name for it is "partial 16S ribosomal RNA". It matches the Rfam family "Bacterial small subunit ribosomal RNA", at positions 28 to 507 of the family's 1533-position model. The record is from RNAcentral.